Molecule: ribosomal RNA, 183 nt
Filed under: uncultured bacterium
Lineage: Bacteria
Description: partial 16S ribosomal RNA
Rfam family: Bacterial small subunit ribosomal RNA
Source: RNAcentral
GCAUGAAGUUGGAAUUGCUAGUAAUCGCGGAUCAGCAUGCCGCGGUGAAUACGUUCCCGGGGAUUGUACACACCGCCCGUCACACCAUGAGAGUCGGGAACACCCAAAGUCCGUAGUCUAACCGCAAGGAGGACGCGGCCUAAGGUGGGUUCGAUAAUUGGGGUGAAGUCGUAACAAGGUACC